Molecule: ribosomal RNA, 1327 nt
Filed under: Prevotella sp.
Lineage: Bacteria; Pseudomonadati; Bacteroidota; Bacteroidia; Bacteroidales; Prevotellaceae
Also listed under: 2 other names
Description: bacterial SSU rRNA
Rfam family: Bacterial small subunit ribosomal RNA
Source: RNAcentral
UGAGUUUGAUCCUGGCUCAGGAUGAACGCUAGCUACAGGCUUAACACAUGCAAGUCGAGGGACCGGCGCACGGGUGAGUAACGCGUAUCCAACCUGCCCACCACUUGGGGAUAACCUUGCGAAAGUAAGACUAAUACCCAAUGAUUAAAGUCGGUGAUGGAUGGGGAUGCGUCUGAUUAGCUUGUUGGCGGGGUAACGGCCCACCAAGGCAACGAUCAGUAGGGGUUCUGAGAGGAAGGUCCCCCACAUUGGAACUGAGACACGGUCCAAACUCCUACGGGAGGCAGCAGUGAGGAAUAUUGGUCAAUGGACGAGAGUCUGAACCAGCCAAGUAGCGUGCAGGAUGACGGCCUAUGGGUUGUAAACUGCUUUUAUAAGGGAAUAUGCAUGUACCUUAUGAAUAAGGACCGGCUAAUUCCGUGCCAGCAGCCGCGGUAAUACGGAAGGUCCGGGCGUUAUCCGGAUUUAUUGGGUUUAAAGGGAGCGUAGGCCGGAGAUUAAGCGUGUUGUGAAAUGUAGACGCUCAACNUCUGCACUGCAGCGCGAACUGGUUUCCUUGAGUACGCACAAAGUGGGCGGAAUUCGUGGUGUAGCGGUGAAAUGCUUAGAUAUCACGAAGAACUCCGAUUGCGAAGGCAGCUCACUGGAGCGACUGACGCUGAAGCUCGAAAGUGCGGGUAUCGAACAGGAUUAGAUACCCUGGUAGUCCGCACGGUAAACGAUGGAUGCCCGCUGUUGGUCGGUCAGCGGCCAAGCGAAAGCAUUAAGCAUCCCACCUGGGGAGUACGCCGGCAACGGUGAAACUCAAAGGAAUUGACGGGGGCCCGCACAAGCGGAGGAACAUGUGGUUUAAUUCGAUGAUACGCGAGGAACCUUACCCGGGCUUGAAUUGUGAAGGUGCUGCAUGGAUGUCGUCAGCUCGUGCCGUGAGGUGUCGGCUUAAGUGCCAUAACGAGCGCAACCCCUCUCCUUAGUUGCCAUCAGCUGGGCACUCUGGGGACACUGCCACCGUAAGGUGGAGGAAGGUGGGGAUGACGUCAAAUCAGCACGGCCCUUACGUCCGGGGCUACACACGUGUUACAAUGGCAGGCAGAGAGACGGUCCCUUGCAAAAUGGAUCAAAUCCUUCCUGUCUCAGUUCGGAUGGGGUCUGCAACCCGACCCCAGAAGCUGGAUUCGCUAGUAAUCGCGCAUCAGCCAUGGCGCGGUGAAUACGUCCCGGGCCUUGUACACACCGCCCGUCAAGCCAUGAAAGCCGGGGGCGCCUAAAGUCCGUGCGGCCUAGGGCGAAACUGGUAAUUGGGGCUAAGUCGUAACAAGGUAGCCGU